RNAcentral lists this ribosomal RNA (440 nucleotides) under uncultured bacterium. Its description in RNAcentral is "partial 16S ribosomal RNA". It matches the Rfam family "Bacterial small subunit ribosomal RNA", at positions 338 to 795 of the family's 1533-position model. The record is from RNAcentral.
CCUACGGGAGGCAGCAGUGGGGAAUAUUGCACAAUGGGGGAAACCCUGAUGCAGCGACGCCGCGUGGGCGAGGAAGUACCUCGGUAUGUAAAGCCCUAUCAGCAGGGAAGAAACAGGACAGUACCUGACUAAGAAGCCCCGGCUAACUACGUGCCAGCAGCCGCGGUAAUACGUAGGGGGCAAGCGUUAUCCGGAUUCACUGGGCGUAAAGGGAGCGCAGGCGGCAUGGCAAGUCUGAUGUGAAAACCCGGGUCCCAACCCCGGGAGGGCAUUGGAAACUGCCAGGCUGGCGUGUCGGAGGGGUAAGCGGAAUUCCUAGUGUAGCGGUGAAAUGCGUAGAUAUUAGGAGGAACACGAGUGGCGAAGGCGGCUUACUGGACGACUACUGACGCUGAGGCUCGAAAGCGUGGGGAGCAAAAAGGAUUAGAUACCCAGUAGUC